CUGGCCCAGCUGGAAGCCCUUCGAUUUGACCCAGAAUUUAAAUUUGGCGUUGUCCGUGGAGCUCGACUCGGAUCCGUUGAGGAGCUGGACGAUCCGCUCGUAUUUUUUACGGGUCACCGUCUUGGUCUUGCCUGAGUCCCCAUGCUGAGGGAGGAAGAAGAGCUGCCAUCUGCCAUUGGGAGUGAUAGAUGACUACUUAGCCAAGGAUGCUUUGAAAUCAGUCAAGAUGGUCAGGCAAUGAAUACCAAGCAGAGCCUCAAACAUAAGGAAAAAGCACUUGCACAUGGCCAUUCCAUUCCAUUGGAGGUUUCCUCUUGAAAUUCUUUUAUGACUGAAAAGUUAAAAUCAUCAGGAUCCUUCUGUUAUGAUAUGGAAGAUUAAGUAUAAGAAAAUAUUUAUGGUAUAGAAGAAAAAUGUGCACAAGCAUACACAUAAUUGUUCCCAGAGAACUUUAAGUCACUGGAAAUUUGUACCAUAAUUUCACACUUAUGACUGAAUAACUGAAAAAGUUUUAAAAGUUGUGAAUAGUGGGGCUGGGGAUUUAGCUCAGCGGCAUAAGCGCCUGCCUUGCAAACAGGCAGUUGUGAGUUCGGUCCCCAGUACCGAUAAAAAGACAAAAAAAAAAAAAAAAAAGAAAUGAAGAAUGUUUAUAUUUCUAGAAAUUUUAUUACUCUUACAACAGUCAAGCAAAUUAGCCUAAUCUAUAUUCACAAGAUGGUUACAGAUGUGUAUUUACAGAUUCUUAAAAUGUGAGCCACUUAAAGUAAUUCAGGAGAAUGAUGAAUCUUUUGACUCUAUUAUCAAAUGUUGGUAGUGUAUACAUAUCAUUACAGAGAAAUAAAGAAUGGAUUGUA
Cavia porcellus (domestic guinea pig) is the source of this 854-nucleotide long non-coding RNA. RefSeq lists it as uncharacterized. NCBI's taxonomy places the organism in Eukaryota, Metazoa, Chordata, Mammalia, Rodentia, Caviidae. The record is from RefSeq and is a predicted model, not a curated record. The transcript has 2 exons.